Long non-coding RNA from Ziziphus jujuba (common jujube), 484 nucleotides. RefSeq lists it as uncharacterized. The record is from RefSeq and is a predicted model, not a curated record. The transcript is spliced from 3 exons. NCBI's taxonomy places the organism in Eukaryota, Viridiplantae, Streptophyta, Magnoliopsida, Rosales, Rhamnaceae.
UUCCCUCCAUAUAUCAGCCGAAAGACAGCAACCCCAAAGAAGAAGAUUAUGAAGAUAAAACUUCUUCCAUACCUCCUCUUUGCAAUACUAGUCAUCCUUCUUCUACCUUCUCAACAUCAUUAUUCACCUACUUCAUUCAUGGUUCAAGCUGCAGAAUCAGGUAAUAAACUCAAGCUAGAACCUGGACCAGCAAGAAAUAUUUUGGCUACAAGAUACAUGUUAUCCACAUGGGUCAAGUCCAGGAAGCUGGGGGCGAAACCACCAUCAGGACCAAGCCCUAUUGGCAAUAGGCACCCUCCAGCUAAUCAUAAUUGAGAAGGGAACUUUUUACGCGCAAUUGCUUAGGAAGCCCAGAAAAAGGUGAGAAGAAAAGAGAAAGAGAAGAGAAGUGAGAAAAGCUGUAUGCAUGUACUUUUGUGAUUGAAUUUGGUUAGAAAUUCUUCACAAGCGAUGUGCUUUAAUGUUGCAUGCUUGCAAAAGGAUA